AUGCAAGUGUUAUCCGGAAUCACUGGGCGUAAAGCGUCUGUAGGUGGUUCGAAAAGUCCACUGUUAAAGAUUGAGGCUUAACUUCAAAAAUGCCGUGGAAACUUUCAAACUAGAGUAUGGUAGGGGUAGAGGGAAUUUCCAGUGGAGCGGUGAAAUGCGUAGAUAUUGGAAAGACCACCGAUGGCGAAGGCACUCUACUGGGCCAUUACUGACACUGAGAGACGAAAGCUAGGGGAGCAAAUGGG
Molecule: ribosomal RNA, 245 nt
Filed under: uncultured bacterium
Lineage: Bacteria
Description: partial 16S ribosomal RNA
Rfam family: Bacterial small subunit ribosomal RNA
Source: RNAcentral